RNAcentral lists this ribosomal RNA (497 nucleotides) under uncultured bacterium. RNAcentral describes it as "partial 16S ribosomal RNA". It matches the Rfam family "Bacterial small subunit ribosomal RNA", at positions 28 to 507 of the family's 1533-position model. The record is from RNAcentral.
GACGAACGCUGGCGGCGUGCCUAAUACAUGCAAGUAGAACGCUGAAGAGAGGAGCUUACUCUUCUUGGAUGAGUUGCGAACGGGUGAGUAACGCGUAGGUAACCUGCCUUGUAGCGGGGGAUAACUAUUGGAAACGAUAGCUAAUACCGCAUAACAAUGGAUGACACAUGUCAUUUAUUUGAAAGGGGCAAUUGCUCCACUACAAGAUGGACCUGCGUUGUAUUAGCUAGUAGGUGAGGUAAUGGCUCACCUAGGCGACGAUACAUAGCCGACCUGAGAGGGUGAGCGGCCACACUGGGACUGAGACACGGCCCAGACCCCUACGGGAGGCAGCAGUAGGGAAUCUUCGGCAAGGGGGGCAACCCUGACCGAGCAACGCCGCGUGAGUGAAGAAGGUUUUCGGAUCGUAAAGCUCUGUUGUAAGUCAAGAACGGGUGUGAGAGUGGAAAGUUCACACUGUGACGGUAGCUUACCAGAAAGGGACGGCUAACUACGUG